This is a long non-coding RNA of Salmo salar (Atlantic salmon), 1291 nucleotides long. RefSeq lists it as uncharacterized. Lineage: Eukaryota; Metazoa; Chordata; Actinopteri; Salmoniformes; Salmonidae. The record is from RefSeq and is a predicted model, not a curated record.
GAAGCCUGAAGGAGGAGAGAUCACUAGAAACGAACUCGGUUUACCCUUUUAUCUGUGGAUUAAUUGUCAGAGUAGAGGACCUUUACCUGCAUUUCAGUCCGUAGAUGGGUUAACUCACAACGUCACGAGAUCGAUGCACACCAUCAACGGGGCAGAAGACUGUGAGUUGCUGUGAUUCUGGAUGGCCAGAUAGCUACCAACAAUGACAAGAAACUGCCCUGUGGGGAAUUGUAAGGAAAAGGCAGACCAACCAACCCCAUCUCUCUCCUACAAUAAGCAUGGCUGCAAUAGAAAAUGACAGCCAGUUGGAAAGGCAAGGAGGAGGAAUAAAGGACACCAUUUUCUCUCCUCGUCAGGCAAUACUAAUGCACACCAUGAUGGAGAAAAAGGCAGAUGAAGGCUGUGCCUUUCUUUCCCAGUCGCUGCAAGGUGCCCUGGCAGCUGAUGGAUGAGACUGAUGUAAUUAGGAUGGGUGUGGCCUGGUUGCCAUGGAGACAGUCCGUCAGUGCCAUCCGGAUGCUCCCAACAGCCUCGCACACAAAAAUAGCUCAAAGUCUCCGACAUGAAAACAGCUCCCCCACAGAGCCAUCACACUAUGAGGGCGAUAACAAUGACACACCUUGGUCCAACAUAGAGUUUCACCUUAACACACACACACAAAACACACACAGACACAGAACACAGACACACAACAGACGUCUCACAGCAUGUAUGUAUACAUUCAUCAUCAUAAACAGCGUCGUCUCACAGCAUGUAUGUAUACAUUCAUCAUCAUAAACAGCGUCGUCUCACACCCACCCACCCUCUUUUUCUCCUUUGUCUCACACGGCAGACAGAGAGCGUGAUUAGGGCGUGUCUGCUGUGAGACAGAGGGGAGGGGGGGUAAACAGCUAAGCCUGAUCACCCAGGCCCCGACUAACACACACCUUAGAUACCACCACAACCAUACAUGCAACAUCCCCCUUUCACACACACACAACUAGAGCUUUGCACUCCCAGCAUAAAUAGGCUACAUGUGCACCUUAUACACACAAAUCAGAUCACCACUCACAGCCUAGAUACACACACUCCUAACACACAGACACAGAGACAGAUAAUCCAUUCCUUACUUAGAUGUACGUGUAUUUUGGGUAUGUUGUGAAACUGUUAGAUUUUACUUGUUAGAUAUUACUGUACUGUCGGAGCUAGAAACACAAGCAUUUCACUACACCCGCAAUAACAUCUGCUAAACAUGUGUAUGUGACCAAUAAAAUGUGAUUUGAUUUACACAAUAAACACAGCAAACACAUCA